UACAGAGGUCCCAAGCGUUGUUCGGAUUCAUUGGGCGUAAAGGGUGCGUAGGCGGCUCAGUAAGUCGGGUGUGAAACCUCCAGGCUCAACCUGGAGACGCCACCUGAUACUGCUGUGGCUAGAGUCCGGUAGGGGAGCGUGGAAUUCCUGGUGUAGCGGUGAAAUGCGCAGAUAUCAGGAGGAACACCAGCGGCGAAGGCGGCGCUCUGGGCCGGAACUGACGCUGAGGAGCGAAAGCGUGGGUAGCAAACAGG
Molecule: ribosomal RNA, 254 nt
Filed under: uncultured bacterium
Lineage: Bacteria
Description: partial 16S ribosomal RNA
Rfam family: Bacterial small subunit ribosomal RNA
Source: RNAcentral